This 301-nucleotide ribosomal RNA is filed under the name uncultured bacterium. Its description in RNAcentral is "partial 16S ribosomal RNA". It matches the Rfam family "Bacterial small subunit ribosomal RNA", at positions 509 to 809 of the family's 1533-position model. The record is from RNAcentral.
CAGUAGCCGCGGUAAUACGAAGGGGGCUAGCGUUGUUCGGAAUUACUGGGCGUAAAGCGCACGUAGGCGGAUAUUUAAGUCAGGGGUGAAAUCCCAGAGCUCAACUCUGGAACUGCCUUUGAUACUGGGUAUCUUGAGUAUGGAAGAGGUGAGUGGAAUUCCGAGUGUAGAGGUGAAAUUCGUAGAUAUUCGGAGGAACACCAGUGGCGAAGGCGGCUCACUGGUCCAUUACUGACGCUGAGGUGCGAAAGCGUGGGGAGCAAACAGGAUUAGAUACCCCAGUAGUCCCUGUCUCUUAUAU